AUGUUGCAUGGAUACUUGGAUACGUAUCGUAUACGCGAUAAGAUACGUUCGAUACACCUAUUUUCUAAACAUUUGGAUAGGGGGAUAUGUUUCUAUAUACAUAUUAAUUAUUUUCAAACAGGAAAAAGUAAUGAUUUUUUGGUAGGAAACGUACUGUUUUAUUUAACUCUUCAUAGUUUCUUAACAAAUACUGUAUUUCUUUGUUUAAUUUAUUCUUCCUUCUGGACGAUGUCGAUGAUUCGACAUAAUUGCUUAACAAAUAUGGUAACCACAUUCACAAUUCUCACAUCAGAUUCACACACACAUAGUCGAAUUGAUAGAUAA
This 324-nucleotide ribosomal RNA is filed under the name Triticum aestivum (bread wheat). RNAcentral describes it as "partial small subunit ribosomal RNA". Lineage: Eukaryota; Viridiplantae; Streptophyta; Magnoliopsida; Poales; Poaceae. The record is from RNAcentral.